GUGAGGAAUAUUGGUCAAUGGACGUAAGUCUGAACCAGCCAAGUAGCGUGAAGGAUGACUGCCCUAUGGGUUGUAAACUUCUUUUGUUCGGGAAUAAUAUGCCUUACGUGUAGGGUAUUGCAUGUACCGUUCGAAUAAGCAUCGGCUAACUCCGUGCCAGCAGCCGCGGUAAUACGGAGGAUGCGAGCGUUAUCCGGAUUUAUUGGGUUUAAAGGGAGCGUAGAUGGGCGAUUAAGUCAGUUGUGAAAGUUUCCGGCUCAACCGUAAAAUUGCAAUUGAAACUGUUUGUCUUGAGUGCAGCUGAGGUAGGCGGAAUUCGUGGUGUAGCGGUGAAAUGCUUAGAUAUCACGAAGAACUCCGAUUGCGAAGGCAGCUUACUAAACUGUAACUGACAUUGAUGCUCGAAAGUGUGGGUAUCAAACAGGAUUAGAAACCCUAGUAGUCC
RNAcentral lists this ribosomal RNA (445 nucleotides) under uncultured bacterium. RNAcentral's name for it is "bacterial SSU rRNA". It matches the Rfam family "Bacterial small subunit ribosomal RNA", at positions 354 to 796 of the family's 1533-position model. The record is from RNAcentral.